This 270-nucleotide ribosomal RNA is filed under the name uncultured bacterium. RNAcentral's name for it is "partial 16S ribosomal RNA". It matches the Rfam family "Bacterial small subunit ribosomal RNA", at positions 88 to 354 of the family's 1533-position model. The record is from RNAcentral.
CCGGCGACCGGCGCACGGGUGAGUAACGCGUAUGCAACCUGCCCGUUUCAGCGGGAUAACCCGGAGAAAUCCGGCCUAAUACCGCAUGUGGCCGAGGGGAGGCAUCUUCUUUCGGCCAAAGGAGGCGACUCCGGAGACGGAUGGGCAUGCGUGACAUUAGCUUGUUGGCGGGGUAACGGCCCACCAAGGCGACGAUGUCUAGGGGUUCUGAGAGGAAGGUCCCCCACAGUGGUACUGAGACACGGACCAGACUCCUACGGGAGGCAGCAG